Long non-coding RNA from Siniperca chuatsi (mandarin fish), 2077 nucleotides. RefSeq lists it as uncharacterized. NCBI's taxonomy places the organism in Eukaryota, Metazoa, Chordata, Actinopteri, Centrarchiformes, Sinipercidae. The record is from RefSeq and is a predicted model, not a curated record. The transcript has 3 exons.
CUUCCGACCAUCCUUCCCAUGAUGCUUUGCAGAUAACCGACCCAGUUCCCCCCUCUCCAUUAAAACUUUUCCUCUCUCGGGCCUCUCGCCGGAGUCGACGUCGCAGCUGCUGAUGCUGUUUGGCUGAAAACAACAACCGCCGCCGCCGCCAUCGCUGGCCAGCUGCCUAAUGGCUGCCAUGAAAGGAGACAGAAGAGAAGGGAAACAAAACGAAGCAGGAACACUUGAGAUGGUCCUCUGGGUCUCUCGGGGGCCCCUCAGGGCAGAGCACGGGGCCUGAGAAAGAGGAGGCUGUUUGCAAACACGUGAUGAGAUGAUACACGACCCUGGAACAGCAGGAGGGGAGCUGGAAACUGACUGUUCACUGUAGAAAUCCAACCAGUUAUUCAGGCUCACGCUAGAAAAAUCUGUUACUAAAGUAAAGAAAUCUGCCGGUGGGACUGGAGUAGCAGCUGCUGGAAACUAAUUCACUUUAAUUGAAACACGAUUCUCCAGAGUGCAGAAGUGGUGGUAGGGUGGUGUUUGGGUCAAACAAGCACAGGACUUUCCCCCCGGAGGCCGAGCUUCGAGUCCUGUGUGAACCCAAAAGUAAAGUACGUAAUCGAACUUCCGUAACGUGCAACAACAACGUACGGGAGGUACGACGCAGGCCUACUUCCGUCACAUGAGGUACGUAACGUAACUUUCAAUCUUUUCCUAAACUUAACCAAGCAGUUCUUGAGCCAAAACCUAAUCAAAGUGUGAUCGUUUGACAGCGUUAACCACACCAGUCUAACCGGACGUAGCAUAUUUAUUGUUGCUAACUUGCCCUGCGCAGCGGAGGGCCACUGACCAAGCAGCGGUAUUUGACGAGUCGGGGUGAGAACGUGUUGCGUGUACAGAACCGCGGCCACUUAGCAAAGAGUCUGGACACCUGUAUGGAUCUCUGCUCCUGAUUGGCCGAUCGGAUGCCCGACGGGGCGUCCAGGUGUCGGCGGCGUCCUGCUCCUGUCGGCAGGAUUCAUCCAGAGAGACACAUGCAGGGGGAGGUGAAGUUUUACAGCUUCAUUUGUUGGCGAGGACGAAUCGGCGAGAUCUCCCCGGCGAGAUUAAUGGCAUGGCAAAUCAUGGCUCAUGUUGCCGCGGCGACAGGCGUUCCCCGGGUGUCGUUCCCCGUGGCUGCAGCUCAUUUAAAAGCUGUAUAAUCUUGGCGGUGGCGGUGACGGAGCGGGGGAAAUCGCACCGUUGGACCAGGACGCCUGACAGCUGCAUUAAGGCCUGCCAGGGCCGAUUCAUGCCCACAGGACCCCCCCCCCCCAUCACACCCACUAUCAUCCCCCAGCAUGCCUCAGUAACAGAGGGCUCUUAUGGAGGCCGCUGAUCUCUGUGGAGAUACAAGAGAAGAGGCUGCUGCUUCACCCUGCUCUCCUCCAUCAACCACGAUUCUUUCUUCAACCUUCAUUUCAGCAGAAAAACCUUUAAGAUUAAAAGUCUGUCUUUCCAGAGUGUGCUGACAAUGACACCGAGCUGCAAACAGACUACACUGAACAUUUACCACACGCACGAUAUAUAAAGAGCCUAGGACUAAAUUAAAAGAAAAAAUUGGACAAUGUGGAGUCGUUAUACGGAUGUUGAAAUGAUUUUCUUAUGAAGCUGAAAUAUGAUUUUUAUUUCUGAUGAACUGAAAAUCAUCAAAGUGGUUUAACUACCAAUAUUAAAUUAGGUUGGUUUAUCUACAGACCUUAUUUAUAUAUAUAGGUCCACCACUUUGGUCCAGACUGAUUAAUUAUACUAAUAACAUAGACAAUUAAAUAAAUUAAUACAUUUACAAUAAUGUAAAGUUAUUAAUAAGAAAUUAAAUAAAUAAAUAUCUUUCUGCCGAGUGACAGAGCAACCAGUCAUAACUGUAGAUCCCGACCCCAGAGGGUGAUUGACAAUCAAGUGUCACCCUGAAAUAAAUAUGCAAAUGAAAAAAGAUUUCUCCCAGGAGAAAGAAAUAAUCCUCAGGGAAUUAAUUACUCGAAAUCCAAUUCAUGGAGGGAGCUACAACUGCAUUUUAUUGUGAAAUCCUGUGUUGUAUAAUGACAAUAAAGCUUCA